Molecule: RNA transcript, 6308 nt
Organism: Strigops habroptila (Kakapo)
Lineage: Eukaryota; Metazoa; Chordata; Aves; Psittaciformes; Psittacidae
Gene: PDE8A
Gene name: phosphodiesterase 8A
Exons: 23
Source: RefSeq, a predicted model, not a curated record
CAGAGCGAGGGACGGCGGCUGCGAGGAGAGAGGCGUUUCCCUGCCGCAAGGGAUGCAGACACCACGGCCCUGGGAACUAGAGCUUUCGCCGCUGCAGCCCUUUCCGCCGGGAUGGGACGCUAGGAUCGUUUUCCUUCUACCUGUCGCUCCUUUUAAUUUUUCCUCCUGUUUUUUAAUUUUUGAUUUUUUUUCUCUUCGCCGUUUCGCAUCGUUUCUCUGACCAAAAAAAAAAAAAAAAAAAAAAGAAAAAAAAAAGCCCCCCCAACAUGGAGGCCCUUUGAUGCCUCCGGCAGCCGCGCCGGCUCCUCCCGCGGCUCUGGGAAGCCCUCCGGGCCGUGCCCCGCUUCUCCGAGAGCCGCCUCCGGCAUCGGCCCGGGCGCUGAAGGGGGCUCCCCGCGGCUCGGCCCGCCCCUGCCCCGCGCCCCGCCGGCGGGAUGCCGCUGCCGCCUGACGGGGGGCUCUUCCUUCCGACGACGGGAACCUGAAUGUCACCCCCGCGGCGGCCGGCCGUCCGCGACGGAGGCGGCGCGGGACAUGCCCAGCGCGGCGUGAGGGGCGCAGCCGGCUCCUCGGCGCGGAGGGGCAAUCUUCCAUUAUUCUUAUUAUUCGUUUAAAUUAUUGAUUUUGGCCCCAGGGCACACCCCGGCACAGCGCCGAGCGGGACCGCGAGGUGUGAGCGCGGAAGACGCGGUGGGGAGCGGCCCCCGGCCCGUUCCUGGGUUAACCGGUCACGCCGUACAAGCCCCGGUGGAAAAUGCGCCGUGCUCCGGACUAGGAGGGAGGAGAUGGUGCAGUGCCCCCGGCCGCUUUGAGCCGAGAAGACGCUGGGGUGCGCGUGGUUUGGGGCUUGGGGGCUUCUUGUUAUUUUUGCCCUUCCUCCCCCUUUUUUUCUUGCCUUUUUUGUUUUUCCCCGGAGGAGAGAAAACCCUACCAAGAUUCUCAGAUGGCUUAGAAAAAUGAAUAAUAAUCUGUGAAAAUAUGAAGUCGACCAGUUCUUGAUUUCACCCCUUCCCUUCCCUCCAGCUCCGCAGCCCACUGCUGAGAUUGAGAUAAAAGGACCCGUUUCCUGGAGGACGAGGAGAACAGACACGUUUCUGGUGUGUAGAAGGGACCGAUGGCAAUGCUUCAGAGUGUAGCGGAGACCCAGGGAAGAGGGUUCAACCUGUUAACAAAAAAUUAAGCAGGGGGAAAAUACCAACGGGAAGGAAAGAUACAGAGAUAUAUAUAUAUAUAUAUUCAUAUAUAUAUACAUAUACACAACUUAGAAGUAUUCCCCAGGUAGCCACAAAGCAUGGGCUGUGUUCCAAGCACCAACCUCUCUGACAGCAGAGUGAUCUGUCACAGUAGCAGUGAGUCUGAAGAGUGCAAUUCCCCUCACCAGACCAACACAACCGUGUCUCAACAGCAGCAAGGCAACCCCGUCCCAGGAUUAUUCAUUAAAUGCUACAACACAUCCACUUAUGAGGCGAGGACUAAUUCCUCUAAGAAAAACAAGAGGGAGAACAGCCAGAGCAUGGAGGCAGAGGUCGAGACCAGCAGAUCCAGUGUUAAGGCACCAGUAACAGAUGUGCAGUUUGGUCCUAUGAGACUUCGUCAAGAUCAACUUCAGGUACUUUUAGUGUUUGCUGAAGACGAUGACCAGAGUAAUGGGUUCCGUUGGGCAUGUGAGAAAGCUGGAUUUCGAUGUAAUAUUGCCAGGACACCUGAGUCUGCACUAGAAUGUUUUCUUGAUAAACACCAUGACAUUAUCAUUAUUGACCAUAGGCAUUCCAGAUAUUUUGAUGCAGAAGCAUUAUGCAGGUCUAUCAGAACAACGAAACCUUCAGAAAAUACAGUCAUUAUUGGUGUAGUACAAAGGCAUGCUGAUCGAGAAGAGUCAUCAAUAUUGCCUCUGAUCUCUGCUGGCUUCUCAAGGAGAUAUGUGGAAAAUUCUAGCAGGAUGGCCUGUUACAAUGAGUUGAUUCAGCUGGAAUUUGGACAGGUGCAGGCACAAUUCAAACUAAGGGCAUGUAAUUCAUUGUUCGCAGCAUUAGAGAAAAGUCAAGAAGCCAUUGAGAUCACAAGUGAAGAUCAUGUAGUACAGUACGUCAAUCCUGCUUUUGAAACAAUGAUGGGCUAUCAAAUAGGUGAACUAAUAGAAAAGCAAUUAACAGAAGUGCCUAUAAAUGAAAAAAAAGCUGAUUUCCUAGAAACUAUUAAUUCCUGCAUAAAGAUAGGAAAGGAAUGGCAAGGAAUGUACUAUGCGAAAAAGAAAAACGGAGAUAGCAUACAACAAAAUGUGAAGAUACUACCUGUCAUUGGACAGGGAGGAAAGAUUAGACACUAUGUGUCAAUUAGUAGACUGUGCAAUGACAACAAUAAGGCGGAGAAGACAUGUGAAUGUAUUCAGGCUGAAUCUCAGACAGAUAUUCAGACUUGCAGGCAAAAAGACAUGAGGAAAGGAUCACUAGAUGUCAGAUCCACAACAUCAAGAGGGAGUGAUGGCAGCUCACAAAGGCGGCGCUCUUCUAUGGCCAGGGUACAUUCCAUGACUAUUGAAGCACCCAUCACCAAGGUAAUAAACAUCAUCAAUGCUGCACAAGAAAGCAGUCCCAUGCCAGUUGCAGAAGCUUUAGACCGGGCUUUGGAGAUCUUAAGAACCACUGAAUUGUACUCUCCACAACUGGGGACAAAAGAUGAGGAUCCACAUACAAGUGACCUCGUUGGAGGGUUAAUGACAGAUGGUUUACGAAGAUUAUCAGGGAAUGAAUACAUAUUGUCAGCAAAACAAACUCACCAGGUCGCUGGCAGUUUGAGCUCUCCAAUCUCCCUCAAUGACAUACCCCCACGGAUAACAGAGGCAAUGGAAAAUGAAGAACAGUGGGAUUUUGAUAUCUUUGAACUUGAGGCUGCCACUCAUAAAAGGCCUUUGGUUUAUCUGGGUCUCAAAAUAUUUGCUCGCUUUGGAAUCUGUGAAUUCCUAAACUGUUCAGAAUCAACUCUGAGGUCAUGGUUACAAGUUAUUGAAGCUAACUACCAUUCCUCCAACUCCUAUCAUAAUUCUACUCAUUCAGCAGAUGUACUACAUGCCACUGCUUAUUUCUUGUCUAAAGAAAAAGUAAAGCAAACUCUGGAUCCGAUUGAUGAGGUUGCUGCACUCAUUGCUGCCACAGUCCAUGAUGUGGAUCACCCAGGAAGAACAAAUUCUUUCCUGUGCAAUGCUGGCAGUGAGCUGGCAAUUCUCUACAAUGACACCGCAGUGCUGGAGAGCCAUCAUGCUGCCCUGGCUUUCCAGCUCACCACCAGAGAUGGCAAAUGCAAUAUAUUUAAAAACAUGGAGAGGAAUGAGUAUCGAACCCUUCGCCAAGUCAUUAUUGACAUGGUCUUAGCAACAGAAAUGACAAAGCACUUUGAGCAUGUCAACAAGUUUGUCAACAGCAUUAAUAAACCCUUGGCAGCGCUAGAAGAAAAUGGGUUUUUUCCUUUAGAAAGAACUUUCUUCCCCACAAGAACUUUCUUCUGAAAAAUAUGUCCUAAUAAAAGGUCAGAAUGUUUCUGCUGCUUUGUAUCCACCUCUUCGUACAAAAUACUGCAGGAACUGGUGGCACAUUGUUAUUAUCAUCAUUAUCGUUACUGUUAACUUCUUCACUGCUCUGACUACAGACCAAGACUUUGUUAGGUGCCACAGAAGUCUAGUAUAUUCCUUGCUUCAAAGAGUUUCUGUUCUGCAUAGAAGGUGUUAUAAAUUUCUGUAUCUACCCAUCCCUAAAGAGUCAAGCAACAAUGCUGUACUUAUAGGUAAUUUUAAAAGAUAUUUUAACCCUGAAUCUCUGUCCCUUGGAUAUUUACUUCAUCAGAGCUCCACAGAAAUAGCUUCUAAUCUGGACCAUCAUAUUAGCUGCAUAUUGGCUCCAAAUAUAGAGUAUGUUGGCACACUUAUAUGUGCAGCCUGGGAACCAAAUAUAAGCUGCAUGUGGGCUGAAAACUUCCCUAGACUUUCAGAGGAAAGAUGAGCUUGUUUGGAAGCAUGUUGCUAAUAUAUAUAUAUGUAUCACUUUAAUACUGAUAAACUCUCAGAAAGCAAAAUUCCCAGUCAGGUCAGAGACUGAUGGGCUAACAUGCGUCCCGUGGAAGGGAGUGAGGAGCCUGGGAGGCAAUGUGGGAUCUGACUCUCCUAAUAGUAGCAGUGCUGUCACAAUGAUUGAUGCUCACAUUGAUGAGGUUUGCAUGCAGAGGAUGACCAUGCAGCUCGGGUCACUCCUUUUCUUUAAACCAGCUAUUCCACUCUUAAUGUGCAAGUCCAUUAAUCCGUGGAUUUCAGCAGAGAAUUACAUUUUUCUGCCUACACAGUGCUCAUCACUGCGUAUAGUGAUGAAUGGAUCCUCUCCACACUUUUGAGGAGGCAGAUAAGGCAUAGAGGGAUUAGAUGACUUGCCCAAAGGUGCCCUAGAGAUCUGUCACAAAGACAGUGACUGAAUCCAGAAACUGGAGUUCAGUGCUAGUUCACAACUGUGGCUAACAUUCAUAAUCCCCCUAUAAAUUUGGUAGGACAUCAAAUACAGUAGCCAGUAGCAGGACUGAUCCCUGUAGGAUCAGCUAAAAGCAUUCCCAAGGCACAAAGCUUUUGAGUAAGUGCACAGAGACCUUGCUAAUGGAUUGUUUUUAAUUCUUAAAUGUUACAGAAUAAUGGUGAUGGAGAGUCAAUCAAAACUGUUCUCAGGUCUCCAGAAAACCGUAUCCUUAUCAAGCGCAUGUUGAUAAAGUGUGCUGACAUUUCCAAUCCAUGCAGACCCAUAGAACAGUGCAUAGAGUGGGCCGGACGCAUUUCUGAGGAGUAUUUUGCACAGACUGAUGAAGAAAGGAGGCAAGGUUUACCUGUUGUGAUGCCAGUUUUUGACAGAAAUACUUGCAGCAUCCCCAAAUCCCAAUUAUCAUUCAUUGAUUACUUCAUUAUUGAUAUGUUUGAUGCCUGGGAUGCAUUUGCAGAUCUGCCAAAUUUGAUGGAGCAUCUGAAUAAUAACAUUAAAUACUGGAAAGGACUAGAUGCAAGGAAUCUGCGGGUCCUUCGACCACCACCAGAAUAGCAAUUAGACCAUGUAUUACAGUAAGGCUAGCCCAUGCGCUUGGGGAACUUUCAAAUUCAAGAGAACAUGAGGUCAGCAGUUGACUUCCACAGACUACGUGUGUGGACUCCAAUGAAAUAAGCCCACCAAGUGGAAUUACACUGGAUUGCUGCAGUACUUGUACUGAAGAGGGUUUAUUAGUGAACAUAUUUUUGCGAUAUCUUCAUACCAGUAUGUGAAGCUGGAAGACCUUGAAGAAUCCUCAUUAAAAGGACAUUCACUAGAAGAUUAUCUAUUAAUAGAGACUCACGGCUUUUAUGAGAAAGCUACAUGCUUUUUAUAAGCACUUAAGACAGUUACGUAGAACAAUCAGACAUUUAAAAUGCAACUGUCUAUGAAAGAAUUUUUGAUCUAUGAAAAUAGAUGUACUGUAUUUUUUCACAUCACAGAAGGUGCAAUCAUUCACUUCUGAGCACUACUGAAAGUGAGUUCUCUUUAAGAAAUUUAGUAGCAAAUGUAAAAAAUAACACAAGAAUUUUUGAGGUUGAUCGUUAGCAUCUAUGAUUAAAAUGUUAUGUUUUAUUUAUUUUGUUAGAUGUUCAAUAUUUUCUAUGAAUUUAUAAAUACUUAAAAGCCAAAGCCAACUUUAGACGCAUUAUAAAUUUACAUGAUUCAUACUCAUUAAUAUACAUUUAAUUGAUGUACAGACCUUUUAUUUUCAUAAUGCAAACAUAAAAUACUAUACAAUGAUACAUUUUUAUUGCACUGUAAGGAUAGAUGUGUAUGUUUAAAUAUUGUCUGAUUUAUGUUAAUUAAAAUAAGUUUUAUUGAAAAGGUCUCACUUGAGAAUAGUAGAAUAGAAAGAGAUGUAUACUGUCUGAGCACCAGAACUGCAGUAGUUCUCCCACAAACCAGUGAAAACAUCCUGCUCUUCCCUUGGCUACAAAAUAAUAAUAUGUUGAAUUUUUUUGUUUUCUCCUGUGAAAUUUUAUGACUGAAUUCCCUGUCAAAAUCUGCCUUAUUUUAUACAGUAUUUCUACAAAGCAUUCCACAGCAUAUAUGAAGAGGUAAUACUAAACAUCUAAUGAAUUUCAACAUUUUCUAGCCUAUGUAUUUUCCUCUGCCAUGAAAGAAACAGAACCUAAAACCACCAACAAAAACCUUUAACUCAAGAAGUUUGUAAGGCUGCAUAACGUCACAAUUUGAAUGAAACCUUCAUAGCAAACACCAGAAAAUAAUAAAAUGUAUAUUUUAAGAAGUGUCAAA